UCGAUAGCUCAUGAUGGCUUGAGAACAUUGAAUAGUGUCUAGGUUGUAGGAUAGAUUUGGACUCCAAAACGGUAAAAUUGAGUCUUGGACUCUUCAUAAAUGUUUUAUGUAUAUGUCUUAGCUUUCUAUC
Populus trichocarpa (black cottonwood) is the source of this 130-nucleotide non-coding RNA. NCBI's taxonomy places the organism in Eukaryota, Viridiplantae, Streptophyta, Magnoliopsida, Malpighiales, Salicaceae. The record is from Rfam.